GGGUACCUGCGGAGGGAUCAUUACACAAAUAUGAAGGCGGGCUGGAACCUCUCGGGGUUACAGCCUUGCUGAAUUAUUCACCCUUGUCUUUUGCGUACUUCUUGUUUCCUUGGUGGGUUCGCCCACCACUAGGACAAACAUAAACCUUUUGUAAUUGCAAUCAGCGUCAGUAACAAAUUAAUAAUUACAACUUUCAACAACGGAUCUCUUGGUUCUGGCAUCGAUGAAGAACGCAGCGAAAUGCGAUAAGUAGUGUGAAUUGCAGAAUUCAGUGAAUCAUCGAAUCUUUGAACGCACAUUGCGCCCUUUGGUAUUCCAAAGGGCAUGCCUGUUCGAGCGUCAUUUGUACCCUCAAGCUUUGCUUGGUGUUGGGCGUCUUGUCUCUAGCUUUGCUGGAGACUCGCCUUAAAGUAAUUGGCAGCCGGCCUACUGGUUUCGGAGCGCAGCACAAGUCGCACUCUCUAUCAGCAAAGGUCUAGCAUCCAUUAAGCCUUUUUUCAACUUUGACCUCGGAUCAGUAGGUCCAGGUUUUCU
RNAcentral lists this ribosomal RNA (534 nucleotides) under fungal sp. RNAcentral's name for it is "eukaryotic LSU rRNA". The stretch from base 189 to 342 matches the Rfam family "5.8S ribosomal RNA". Lineage: Eukaryota; Fungi. The record is from RNAcentral.